AGCAGUAGCCACGGUAAUACGAAGGGUGCAAGCGUUACUCGGAAUUACUGGGCGUAAAGCGUGCGUAGGUGGUGGUUUAAGUCCGUUGUGAAAGCCCUGGGCUCAACCUGGGAAUUGCAGUGGAUACUGGGUCACUAGAGUGUGGUAGAGGAUAGUGGAAUUUCCGGUGUAGCAGUGAAAUGCGUAGAGAUCGGAAGGAACAUCUGUGGCGAAGGCGACUAUCUGGGCCAACACUGACACUGAGGCACGAAAGCGUGGGGAGCAAACAGGAUUAGAUACCCCUGUAGUCCCUGUCUCUUAUAC
Molecule: ribosomal RNA, 303 nt
Filed under: uncultured bacterium
Lineage: Bacteria
Description: partial 16S ribosomal RNA
Rfam family: Bacterial small subunit ribosomal RNA
Source: RNAcentral